UUUUUCGGUCUGGGAUGGACUCGCGGCCUAUCAGCUUGUUGGUGAGGUAAUGGCUCACCAAGGCGACGACGGGUAGCCGGCCUGAGAGGGCGACCGGCCACACUGGGACUGAGACACGGCCCAGACUCCUACGGGAGGCAGCAGUGGGGAAUAUUGCACAAUGGGCGAAAGCCUGAUGCAGCGACGCCGCGUGAGGGAUGACGGCCUUCGGGUUGUAAACCUCUUUCAGCAGGGAAGAAGCGGAAGUGACGGUACCUGCAGAAGAAGCACCGGCUAACUACGUGCCAGCAGCCGCGGUAAUACGUAGGGUGCGAGCGUUGUCCGGAAUUAUUGGGCGUAAAGAGCUUGUAGGUGGUUUGUCGCGUCUGCUGUGAAAAUCCGAGGCUCAACCUCGGACUUGCAGUGGGUACGGGCAGACUAGAGUGUGGUAGGGGAGACUGGAAUUCCUGGUGUAGCGGUGGAAUGCGCUGAUAUCAGGAGGAACACCGAUGGCGAAGGCAGGUCUCUGGGCCAUUACUGACACU
RNAcentral lists this ribosomal RNA (524 nucleotides) under Terrabacter sp. SMCC B0616. Its description in RNAcentral is "bacterial SSU rRNA". It matches the Rfam family "Bacterial small subunit ribosomal RNA", at positions 211 to 747 of the family's 1533-position model. Lineage: Bacteria; Bacillati; Actinomycetota; Actinomycetes; Micrococcales; Intrasporangiaceae. The record is from RNAcentral.